UCCACGUUUAACUGUGUGACCUUGGGC
This 27-nucleotide non-coding RNA is filed under the name Homo sapiens (human). The record is from RNAcentral. Lineage: Eukaryota; Metazoa; Chordata; Mammalia; Primates; Hominidae.